This 650-nucleotide ribosomal RNA is filed under the name uncultured bacterium. RNAcentral describes it as "bacterial SSU rRNA". It matches the Rfam family "Bacterial small subunit ribosomal RNA", at positions 56 to 757 of the family's 1533-position model. The record is from RNAcentral.
UGCAGUCGACGCCCCGCAGGGGAGUGGCAGACGGGUGAGUAGCGCGUGGGAAUCUACCCAGUCCUUCGGAACAACACAGGGAAACUUGUGCUAAUACCGGAUACGCCCUACGGGGGAAAGAUUUAUCGGGAUUGGAUGAGCCCGCGUUGGAUUAGCUAGUUGGUGGGGUAAUGGCCUACCAAGGCGACGAUCCAUAGCUGGUCUGAGAGGAUGAUCAGCCACACUGGGACUGAGACACGGCCCAGACUCCUACGGGAGGCAGCAGUGGGGAAUAUUGGACAAUGGGCGAAAGCCUGAUCCAGCCAUGCCGCGUGAGUGAUGAAGGCCUUAGGGUUGUAAAGCUCUUUCAGUGGGGAAGAUAAUGACGGUACCCACAGAAGAAGCCCCGGCUAACUUCGUGCCAGCAGCCGCGGUAAUACGAAGGGGGCUAGCGUUGUUCGGAUUUACUGGGCGUAAAGCGCACGUAGGCGGAUCGUUAAGUCGGGGGUGAAAUCCUGGAGCUCAACUCCAGAACUGCCUUCGAUACUGGCGAUCUUGAGUCCGGAAGAGGUGAGUGGAACUCCUAGUGUAGAGGUGGAAUUCGUAGAUAUUAGGAAGAACACCAGUGGCGAAGGCGGCUCACUGGUCCGGUACUGACGCUGAGGUGCGAA